Molecule: long non-coding RNA, 441 nt
Filed under: Chloebia gouldiae (Gouldian finch)
Lineage: Eukaryota; Metazoa; Chordata; Aves; Passeriformes; Passeridae
Description: Erythrura gouldiae (Gouldian finch) lncRNA (ENSEGOG00005009485.1)
Source: RNAcentral
GCUCUCAGCCGGCGCUCUCGCGAGAUCGGCGCGCGCGCGCCGCCGCCGUUCCCGCCGCUGAGGCCGCGGCCGCGCUCCCCCCGCCCUGCCCCUCCCGCGCCGGGGCCGCUCCCGCUGCCGCUCCCGCUUCUCUCUUUCUCUGUCUCUUUCUGUCUCUCUUUCCGCGCGCCUCUCGCGAGGCUUCGGGGCCGCGCUGCUGCCAGCGCCUCGCGAGAUCUCGCUCUCCUCAUCAGCGUGCCGCAGCUCCCGGCUCCCUCCCCCUCGCAGCGACCGGCCGGGCCGAGGAUGGACUGGGAGUGAUUCCCGGCAGAGCACGAGGACCGGAACCCCAAAAUGAAAGUGGAUCGGACGAAACUGAAGAAAACCCCCACGGAGGCGCCCGCCGACUGCCGGGCCCUCAUCGAGAAGCUGAAAGCUUGCAGUGAUGAGCAGCUGGUGACA